CGAAAAAUGAUCCCGCUUAACUCUUACAUCCCGCUUUUCGUAGCACGAAUUCGGUAGUACAAAAAAAAGAAAAUAAAAAAAGGUAUGUCUAUAUAAUAUGCAACUACAUUGUAAAAUAACAACAAUUCUGAAAAUAUCGCAGCUCUAUAAACUCACUGCUUUCUACUUGAAUAGUUAAAGAUAUGUUUAAAUCACAUAAACAAACGCUUGCGCAGCAACUGAAAAGCAAGUUUUCUUUUUCCCUUGGACAUGAAAAUCCUCUAACAAAGCCAAUGCCUGUUAGUAAAAAGUUGCCACCAGAACCUACUCCUGAUGAAGAAUUGCUAAUGAAAGAAUCCUUAAAGGAAAAGCUGCUGCCUUUAAAUGAAAACUUACACAAUGAAAAUAUUAAAAGUUAUGGACCUUUCUUUUUAGAAUACUCUAUAGCUGCUGAAUUCAAUCAUGUUAAAAAAACUCGUUUACCUGGUGUUUAUGUUAUACCAUCAGCUAAAGAUCCAUUAGUUUGGUUCGGUGUUUUGUUUAUCAGGCAAGGCAUUUAUCAAGAUGGUGUUUUUCGUUUUUCUAUAGUUAUCCCAAGCAACUAUCCUGAUGGUGAUUGUCCUUCAGUCAUAUUCAAGCCUCCUGUUUACCAUCCUUUCAUAAAUGCUACCACCGGUGUCCUAGAUAUUGAAAGAGCAUUUAGUUCUUGGAGACCAAAUGUUAAUCAUUUAUGGCAAGUGCUACUGCAUCUUAGAAGGAUAUUUUAUAAAUUUGAUUCUAAAGAUCCUGUCAAUAGACAAGCAGCGGAGUUAUUCGACAAAGAUUUAAUUGCUUAUGAAAAAAAAGUAAAAGAAGAAAUCGAACACAUUAACAAUUAUCUUUAUGAUGAUGAAGAUAACACAGAUCCACAUGCUAUAAGAUUCACUGAGUGGAAUCCUGAUAUUCACGAAGAAUUAAAAAGUUCUAUAGUCAGGCAACAGACUGAAGUGAUCGAUACAAUAGAUGAAGAUUUUUCUAAACCAAGGCUGUCUGGAUUGUCUUACAUUGAACCAGGCACUCCGCUCAUAUUUAGUAAAGAGAGAAUGAAGAUAUAUUACACUUGAAAUGUUACACGUGGCCGUGCAUUUGAAUCAAAAAUUGUUUAAAAAUUUUAUCAAAAUUUUAUCAAUGUCCGUGAAGGAGCUCUACUAAAUAUAAGCAUUUGAUAAACGAAAAAUUUAUGAAAUAUUUUUAUGAUUGUAAAUAUUUUUCUUUUUUUCUUGAGAAAAUAAAGUUAUUUUAUUA
Molecule: RNA transcript, 1263 nt
Organism: Hydra vulgaris (swiftwater hydra)
Lineage: Eukaryota; Metazoa; Cnidaria; Hydrozoa; Anthoathecata; Hydridae
Gene name: protein AKTIP homolog
Source: RefSeq, a predicted model, not a curated record